GGAGACAUAGCUCAGUUGGUAGAGUACUUGCCUCACAUGCAUAAGGCCCUGGGUUCAAUCCCCAGCACCA
RNAcentral lists this transfer RNA (70 nucleotides) under Ictidomys tridecemlineatus (thirteen-lined ground squirrel). RNAcentral describes it as "Spermophilus tridecemlineatus (thirteen-lined ground squirrel) tRNA". It matches the Rfam family "tRNA". Rfam says of the family: Transfer RNA (tRNA) molecules are approximately 80 nucleotides in length. RNAcentral also lists the same sequence under 1 other name. Lineage: Eukaryota; Metazoa; Chordata; Mammalia; Rodentia; Sciuridae. The record is from Rfam by way of RNAcentral.